CGCCGCGUGAGUGAUGAAGGCUUUCGGGUCGUAAAACUCUGUUGUUAGGGAAGAACAAGUGCUAGUUGAAUAAGCUGGCACCUUGACGGGACCUAACCAGAAAGCCACGGCUAACUACGUGCCAGCAGCCGCGGUAAUACGUAGGUGGCAAGCGUUAUCCGGAAUUAUUGGGCGUAAAGCGCGCGCAGGUGGGUCUUAAGUCUGAUGUGAAAGCCCACGGCUCAACCGUGGAGGGUCAUUGGAAACUGGGAGACUUGAGUGCAGAAGAGGAAAGUGGAAUUCCAUGUGUAGCGGGAAAUGCGUAGAGAUAUGGAGGAACACCAGUGGCGAAGGCGACUUUCUGGUCUGUAACUGACACUGAGGCGCGAAAGCGUGGGGAGCAAACAGGAUUAGAUACCCUGGUAGUCC
Molecule: ribosomal RNA, 408 nt
Filed under: Bacillus paramycoides
Lineage: Bacteria; Bacillati; Bacillota; Bacilli; Caryophanales; Bacillaceae
Description: bacterial SSU rRNA
Rfam family: Bacterial small subunit ribosomal RNA
Source: RNAcentral